RNAcentral lists this long non-coding RNA (5250 nucleotides) under Homo sapiens (human). RNAcentral describes it as "non-protein coding lnc-C11orf95-1:13". The record is from RNAcentral. Lineage: Eukaryota; Metazoa; Chordata; Mammalia; Primates; Hominidae.
GCCGAGCGAGCAGCCUGCCGUCCGUGCGGCCGGCCGCCCCGUGCAUGCGCCCCGCGCCCCGGGGCCCCGCGCAGCGAGCGCUCCGCGCGGGCUGCCGCCGGCCCCGCGGCCCCGCGCCCCGCCGCCCCGGGGCCCCGCUCCGCAGCGCAGCGCAUGGAGCCCGGCGGGGACCACCGGAGCCGGAGCAGCGGCGGCAGGGGCGGCCCCGGGCCAGCAGUGGCCUCGGCACGGGGCCGACGGCUGCCGCCCGCCGGAUCGAGCGGCAGCGCGGAGCCAGAGGAAGACGAAGGCGGGCAAGAUCUUCAGCUGGAAGGGGGUGCCUUGGGGUCCUGGGGGAGUGCCCCCCUGCCCUCCUCCAGGGCCAGGGGACCAGCAUCUUCAGGCAGGAAAUAUUCAGACCACUGUGAGGCCCGGGCCUCGAGGCCUGGAAAGAGCCGCAUCCCUGGCCGUGACCACCGGCGCUACUACCACGACCACUGGCGGCUGGAGUACCUGAUGGACUUCAACCCUGCCCGGCACGGCAUGGUGUGCAUGGUGUGCGGCAGCUCCCUGGCCACCCUCAAGCUCAGCACCAUCAAGCGCCACAUCCGCCAAAAGCACCCCUACUCCUUGCAUUGGAGUCCCCGGGAGAAGGAAGUCAUCAGCAACAGCUGGGAUGCACACCUGGGGCUGGGGGCCUGCGGAGAGGCCGAGGGCCUGGGGGUCCAGGGGGCUGAGGAGGAGGAGGAGGAGGAAGAAGAGGAGGAGGAGGAGGGGGCCGGUGUCCCAGCUUGCCCGCCCAAGGGCCCAGGCAAAGCCCCAGCUGGUGGGGGCUGCCGGCGCCAGCGGCGAGGGGGCCCAGUGGCACCCCGGGCUCGGCGUCUGCGCCUCUCAGCCUCCCGGAGGGCCGGGGGCAGCAGGGGGCUGGGGGCCCGGCGCCUGGAGAGGAGGCUGAAGGAGUCCCUGCAGAACUGGUUCCGGGCCGAGUGUCUCAUGGACUAUGACCCGCGGGGGAACCGGCUGGUGUGCAUGGCCUGUGGCCGGGCACUGCCCAGCCUGCACCUGGACGACAUCCGUGCCCACGUGCUGGAGGUGCACCCUGGCUCCCUGGGGCUCAGCGGCCCCCAGCGCAGUGCCCUGCUGCAGGCCUGGGGGGGCCAGCCCGAGGCGCUGUCUGAGCUCACCCAGUCCCCACCAGGCGAUGACCUCGCCCCCCAGGACCUGACCGGAAAGAGCCGGGACUCGGCCUCCGCUGCUGGAGCCCCCUCCUCUCAGGAUCUCAGCCCCCCAGACGCGACGUUCCGCUGUCCCCUGGAGCUCCCUUGGAGCGGCCCGCCGAAGAAGAGGAGGACGAAGAGGACGGCCAGGAGCCUGGGGGACUCGCCUUGCCGCCGCCGCCUCCUCCCCCGCCUCCGCCCCCGCCCCGCAGCCGGGAGCAGCGGCGGAACUACCAGCCGCGGUGGCGGGGCGAGUACCUGAUGGACUACGACGGCAGCCGGCGCGGCCUGGUGUGUAUGGUGUGCGGGGGCGCGCUGGCCACGCUCAAGGUGAGCACCAUCAAGCGCCACAUCCUGCAGGUGCACCCCUUCUCCAUGGACUUCACGCCUGAGGAGCGCCAGACUAUCCUGGAGGCCUACGAGGAGGCGGCGCUGCGCUGCUACGGCCACGAGGGCUUCGGGCCGCCCGCCCCGGCGCCGCGUGACGGCGGCGCGGACCUCAAGUCUGGCGCUGUGUGUCGGGCGUAGCGGCCUAGCGGGCCCCCGGGUCAGGUCGGGUCGGGUCGGAUCGGCCCCGCCCCGCCCUGUGCUCGCCCGGCCCUUCGGCUGGGAGACCCUCGCGUCCGGUGUUAGCGCUUCCCGCGGCCGCGCCCCCCGCUGGCCGGGCCGGGCGGAGACGGGGGAUCGGGUGGGGCCACCGGCGUCUGCGCGGUGCCACUUGGGUCCCUGAGCCAGUCGGUGCGCUGCGGGAAGCGCACUCUCCCAUCGGCCCGGAGCCCUGCCCUCCCCGCGCAGGGCCCACGUUUUCCGAGAAUCCUCAGUGGCCUCCACGUGUUAGCGCCGAGCGCUCCCGGCCGCACCCCGCGAGGGGGUUCUCCGCAGGCCGGGACUGGGGGCGCCGUCAGUCAGUAUUAGGGCCGAAGGGGGGCCGUGCGGGCUCUGGCUCUGGCCCUGGCUGGGGGCCCAGUUCCCUGCAGCCUUGCACGCUGGCAGGCACGGCUCCCGGCUUGGGGGCUGCUGGCUGCCCUUCCCUAAUUGGGAUUCUCGGCCUCUCGGAGGCCCCGGCUGCGGACUGGGGCUUCCAGCGGGAGGCUGGGCCGCAGGGCUCGGGAGCCUUCCCGGGGUGGGAAGGCGCGUUGGACCGAGGGCGGGGCUACGCGCCCGGGGCCCGGGCUGGACCAGCUGCGCUUACCUCCCCGGCAGGCUCAGUGAGAACCGUGCGCCCGGCGGCCCCACUCUCCUCCCAGGCCGCUGCCACGCCCUCCAGGAAAGCUCUUGUAAAGGGAUUAGCACUUUUUUCCUUUGCUCCUCUUGCCCCGAGGGUCUCUGCUUACCCCUAAACCAAGUCCGUGGGAGCCCGGGGCACAGGCGGUCCCGGCAGUCAGCCUUCGAUUCCCGCCCCAUCCCCAUCCCCCUUUGUCCGCGGUGGAUGCGGCGUCCGUUCUCAACCCGCAGGGCCUGGGGCCGGGCCUCGGCCUCUUUUCCCCGUGGCAGCCGCAGGCCCUGUGUGGCAGGGAUGGGGCCCCGCGAUCUCCCAGGCAGGUCCGAGAGGGAUGUGUAGAUUCAUUCUCCUGUGGAGAACAGGUGGCCCCGAGAUCAGGCCCUUUUUUGCUCUUUGUAUUUUAUUUUGAAACUGUAUUUAAUGCUUUUAUAUGAAAGGGGGAGGGGCGGGGACAGAGCUGACCCAGUCACCCUUAUGUGCAAAUGUCUUAUUUAUUAUGCGUGUAUCAGAGAUAAGCUGUGAGGUGGUGGAGGGAGGACCUGAAGGAAGGAGGAGCGAGGGCAGAGGCGGGGACGGGAGGACCCCAACUAGCUGUGCUGAUGUUAAUCCCGCUGGGAGACUCCGGGCCCUACUGUCUGCUCUUCACAAAGCCAGGCUGCUGCAGGAACAGUUCCCGCGGUCCUAAAGCCGGGGCGGGGAGGCUAGUGGGUGGAACUUGAGGGUUGGGUCUGGAGGAAGAGAUGCCUGGGCAGCGUGGUCCAGCCCCUGCCUCGGGGUGGAAAGGCAGAGAGCAAAGAGGAGGCCCCUCUUAUUCCGGACCCCCAGGCCAGAGCCCAGGAGUGGGAAAGCAGAGGGCAAAGAGGAGGCCCCUCCUCUCAUCCCUGACCCCCAGGCCAGAGCCUAAGGUUCAAGUGCCUCAGGCCCAGUCCCCUUGACGCUUCCUGUUUGGGAGUUGGAUUUUAUACCACGGAUUUUAUAGCAUUUUUAUAUAAUUGAGGAUUGUCAGAAUUGGAAAGGGCCCUGGAGAUCACUAGUACUACCCUCCUCACCUUCACAGAUAGGUAAAUUGGAGCCCAGGAACCGAGAUGAUCACACAGCCAGGUAGGGACAGUACAAGAACUAGAAUGAAAAUCCUAGCUCCUGACUCAGUGUUCUUUGCACGAUGCCACACUGCUUCCCAAUUCGCUGGUCAGUUAUUAAAAUUUGUCAGGCCUGCCGAAGGAUUGACAUGCUGGGCAAUGCAGGCCACCACGGUGGAUCUGUGACUCCUGAAGGUGGCAAAGCCCUGCACACUGCCUUGGGAUGAGCACACUGAGCUCUGCAGGGCCUCAGCUGGAAGGCGCCAUCCAAUCGUCCUUCCCCUCCCCAGCAGAACUCCAGAGGUGGGGCGGCUGCCGCAGGGCCCAAGGCUGCCUCGGCAGGGGGCUUUGUGCUUUUUGUUGUGGAGGCCACCAGGGAUUCAGGAAGAUCCUGAAUGGGUUGUCAAUUGACUGAAAAGUAAAUUCCCAGUGAGUUUGAACCUCCACGGUUUUUGAGACAGUAUUAAAAGCUUGAGAACGGAGAUUAUGGAUGGCACCAGGCUGGGCACUGCCAUUCUUUUACUUUCCUUCAUGCAUUUUUUCGGAUCCAGAGUAUUAACACCACUUUUUUUACUCUGCCCAUUCAAAAACAGUAGGCAAAUUGGGGGAACCAAUUUAUAAUCACUCAAGCCCACUGCCAAAGUUCGGAUAAGCCAGGGCAGAGGGGUUAGAUUCCCCCCCCUCCGUAGGCAGAGAGAGGCCUCAGGAGAGUGGACAUCUUUACUGAGACAGCCCCAAACACACCAGUGGCUCUCAAAGUGUGUCCCUGAGACCAGCAGCAUCACCUUAGGAAUCUGCUAGAAAUAAAAAUUCUUGGGCCAUACCCCAGGGUUACUGAAUCAGAAACUUGGUUGGGGCCUAGCAGUGUUUUCAUGAGCCCUCCAUUGAUCUUGAUGCAGCUGAAGUGCCGGGCACCAGUGAAAGGGAAGGGCUGCGGUAGUGAUUCCAUUGAUUCCUGCUUUGAUGGAAGUUAUGGCCUCACAGGUUAGACGUUGCAAGUUGAGUUGGCCCUCUUGCCUAGGUGUGCCUCCUUGCCUUGGGAUUCUGACAUGAACAGGUGAAGUCUCUUCAUGAUUUUUUUUGUUGUUGUUGUUAAUGGUAUGCUUGCUAUUAUGGCCAAUAUGUAAAUGUUACUCUGAAUACAUAUUUAUAUACCAUGUUACUUAGUGACAUUAUUCAAACAUUUGUAUGCGUAUUUGUGAAAUUGUUUGCAUCAGUCAUUUAAAAAAUAUUUCAGCCUAAGUUUUCUAAGAGGUAUGUUGAAUACAUUUUUAAAAGCCAGCUUAAGGGUCACAGCAGCCUUAGUUUAGGAGAAGAGCUAAUCACAGGUGACCACUCAAGUUCUUUCAAUGAAGACCUGAUGAUGUAUUUAGUUCCCAUUUUCCACGGUGAUUGACUCAAUUUAAGUGUAUUGUGGCUAUAUGUAAUUUACAGGCUGCUUUGCGUUGCAGGUGGGAAAAUCUCCCAGGCUGGUGUGAGGCUGAACUGGGGUAAAAGACCCCCUGACCCCUCCUCAUUCUUCUAAGGUCACCACCUCUUAGAGGGUCUCUUAUUUUCUUUCAGAGAUCAAAUGCACAGUUAUGCUGUACAACUAAAUUCUGCAGUCUUGGGAAUCCUUACGAGUACCAACUAUUAGUCACUUUUUAAAGUCCCCAAAGUGGAGUGAGGAUAGGGGGAGUGGAAGCAGUGUUUGGUUCUUACUUUACCCAAACUGUGUAUAAAGAAUAAAGUUAGCAGAAUGAUGCCACAGUCA